Molecule: ribosomal RNA, 742 nt
Filed under: uncultured bacterium
Lineage: Bacteria
Description: bacterial SSU rRNA
Rfam family: Bacterial small subunit ribosomal RNA
Source: RNAcentral
AGCGGCGGACGGGUGAGUAACACGUGGGUAACCUGCCCAAGAGACUGGGAUAACACCUGGAAACAGAUGCUAAUACCGGAUAACAACACUAGACGCAUGUCUAGAGUUUGAAAGAUGGUUCUGCUAUCACUCUUGGAUGGACCUGCGGUGCAUUAACUAGUUGGUAAGGUAACGGCUUACCAAGGCAAUGAUGCAUAGCCGAGUUGAGAGACUGAUCGGCCACAUUGGGACUGAGACACGGCCCAAACUCCUACGGGAGGCAGCAGUAGGGAAUCUUCCACAAUGGACGAAAGUCUGAUGGAGCAGCGCCGCGUGAGUGAAGAAGGGUUUCGGCCCAUAAAGCUCUGUUGGUAGUGAAGAAAGAUAGAGGUAGUAACUGGCCUUUAUUUGACGGUAAUUACUUAGAAAGUCACGGCUAACUACGUGCCAGCAGCCGCGGUAAUACGUAGGUGGCAAGCGUUGUCCGGAUUUAUUGGGCGUAAAGCGAGUGCAGGCGGUUCAGUAAGUCUGAUGUGAAAGCCUUCGGCUCAACCGGAGAAUUGCAUCAGAAACUGUUGAACUUGAGUGCAGAAGAGGAGAGUGGAACUCCAUGUGUAGCGGUGGAAUGCGUAGAUAUAUGGAAGAACACCAGUGGCGAAGGCGGCUCUCUGGUCUGCAACUGACGCUGAGGCUCGAAAGCAUGGGUAGCGAACAGGAUUAGAUACCCUGGUAGUCCAUGCCGUAAACGAUGAGUGCUAAGUGU